This 73-nucleotide transfer RNA is filed under the name Stegodyphus mimosarum. It matches the Rfam family "tRNA". From Rfam's summary of the family: Transfer RNA (tRNA) molecules are approximately 80 nucleotides in length. Their secondary structure includes four short double-helical elements and three loops (D, anti-codon, and T loops). Lineage: Eukaryota; Metazoa; Arthropoda; Arachnida; Araneae; Eresidae. The record is from Rfam by way of RNAcentral.
GCCUUCGUGGUAUAAUGGUUAGCACACUCGGCGCGUAUUCGAGAAGUCCGAGGUUCGAGUCCUGGCGAGGAUU